CACGUAGUUAACCGUGGCUUUCUGGUUAGAUACCGUCAAGGUGGGAACAGUUACUCUCCCACUUAUUCUUCUCUAACAACAGAGUUUUACGAUCCGAAAACCUUCUUCACUCACGCGGCGUUGCUCGGUCAGACUUUCGUCCAUUGCCGAAGAUUCCCUACUGCUGCCUCCCGUAGGAGUCUGGGCCGUGUCUCAGUCCCAGUGUGGCCGAUCACCCUCUCAGGUCGGCUAUGCAUCACGGUCUUGGUAGGCCAUUACCCCACCAACUAACUAAUGCAGCGCGGGCCCAUCCAACAGUGACACCGUAAGGCGUCUUUUAUUAUUCUCCCAUGCGGGAAAACAAAUUAUGCGGUAUUAGCACCUGUUUCCAAGUGUUAUCCCCCUCUGUUGGGCAGGUUGCCCACGUGUUACUCACCCGUCCGCCACUCUUUACUUUCGGUGGAGCAAGCUCCGGUGAAAAGUAAAGCGUUCGACUUGCAUGUAUUAGGCACGCCGCCAGCGUUCGUCCUUGAGCCAGGAUCAAACUCUA
This 529-nucleotide ribosomal RNA is filed under the name uncultured Vagococcus sp. RNAcentral's name for it is "partial 16S ribosomal RNA". The record is from RNAcentral. Lineage: Bacteria; Bacillati; Bacillota; Bacilli; Lactobacillales; Enterococcaceae.